Long non-coding RNA from Daucus carota subsp. sativus, 890 nucleotides. RefSeq lists it as uncharacterized. Lineage: Eukaryota; Viridiplantae; Streptophyta; Magnoliopsida; Apiales; Apiaceae. The record is from RefSeq and is a predicted model, not a curated record. The transcript is spliced from 2 exons.
UCUCUCCCAAACCAGAUCUCUUUUCAUAGCUACCAACUUAGAUCUAUUUUACCCCCCACAGAUUUCAAAGGUGCAUGUCAUCUCAGGGACGUGACUGUGAGGAUGAGGAUAUGUAACUGAUCAUCUCUUUCUCAUCUCUCUCUCUCUUUCUAUUCCUUCCUCUUCCACCGCAGUUCGCCGGCCGUUGCCGCCGGCUCUCGUAUCUUUCCCCGCGCUCUCUCUCUCUGGCAAUCUGAAAAUGGCGCUGUUUAUCUGUCCUAGGGAAGUGAGUUUUGUUGGAGAUUCCAGGUCCUUUUUUAUCGUCGAGCCUAUCGAUGUCGACGAAGCCAAUCGACGAUUUGGCUUUUGAAUUACUUCUUUUGUUUGAUUUAAUCUUUAUUUGUCGUCGUUAUUUUUUAUAUUUUGAUAUUCAUCCAUAUUUAUAUAUAUUUGUGUUGUUUUGGUAUUGCUAAUUUUUAUGGAUGUAGGAACUUCUUACCUAACAAGGUCAUAUCCAUGGUGGUGAUGGAUAGGUACAGAAGGGGUGGAGAAGAAGAGCUAAUUUGGCGACGAUAAUUGAUGUUUGAAAAAGAUUUUAAGAAUUUAUUUAUUAAGGCUGCUUCCGAGAAGACGCGAACUUUGGUGUACAAGACAGUUGAGCUACAAACAUAGAUAGAAAGGAAUAAAGAAGACAUCAAUUUUAGUCUGUUUUGUAAUCGAUGUAAUUUUUGUAGGGCACUCUUUUUCCUCCUUGAGUUUUUUCCCACAGGGUUUUGCUCUUGAGGGGUUUUAACGAGGCCUUUUUUUUGUGGGUUAUCUCUUCUGACUUGAAAGGCUAUGUUAUCUAAGUUUCCGGAGUAUUUACAUACUUUCGGUUAGAUGAUAUACCUUCUUGAACGAAGGAAACUCUG